AACGCGAAGAACCUUACCAGGUCUUGACAUCCUCUUGAAUACAUUGGAGACAGUGUAGGCCUUCGGGACAAGAGAGACAGGUGGUGCAUGGUUGUCGUCAGCUCGUGUCGUGAGAUGUUGGGUUAAGUCCCGCAACGAGCGCAACCCUUGAUCUUAGUUGCCAGCAUUCAGUUGGGCACUCUAGGAUGACUGCCGGUGACAAACCGGAGGAAGGUGGGGAUGACGUCAAAUCAUCAUGCCCCUUAUGACCUGGGCUACACACGUACUACAAUGGCCGGUACAACGGGAAGCGAAGUCGCGAGAUGGAGCGAAACUUAAAAAGCCGGUCUCAGUUCGGAUUGCAGGCUGCAACUCGCCUGCAUGAAGUCGGAAUUGCUAGUAAUCGCGGAUCAGCAUGCCGCGGUGAAUACGUUCCCGGGCCUUGUACACACCGGUAUCUC
This 440-nucleotide ribosomal RNA is filed under the name uncultured bacterium. RNAcentral's name for it is "bacterial SSU rRNA". It matches the Rfam family "Bacterial small subunit ribosomal RNA", at positions 958 to 1400 of the family's 1533-position model. The record is from RNAcentral.